AUGUCGGAAAUCAUCUUGGAAAACAAACCUAAGCUCAUCAAAUGGCUUAGUUUGGAUUAUAAAUUUGUUUUGCAACAUGUUCAAGCUAAAAAACUUAUAACACACUCGCACUAUGAUGACUUGAUGGCCAUGAAGGCGAGCGACAGUAUCAUCAAACUUCUGGACAUCAUCCGUAGAAGAGGAGAAAAUGUGUGUCGAGAUUUUCUGGAUUUGCUAAAAGAUGAUGAUGUGAAUGAAAUAUCGCCGGAGCUAAGAGACUGGGUCAAAACAGUUGACUCAGAAGAAACUGCCAACAUGACAGGACAAUCACGCAUCCAAGUAAACAGCCAAAUCUCUGCAUCAGAUGGCAGCAGUGUAAUUUCGCCUACCAUAAUUGGUGGAAAUCUAGGGUCCUUUAUAAUGAAUACGACGGUUGCACCCUCUGGCAGAUCAGAUGUGCAGACAAAUUGUAAGUGUAAUAAAUGUACAUUGCCUAAAACAAACAAACAAAGAAACAAUAAAUAAAUAUAUUAAUUAAUUAAAUAAUGAAAAAAGGUCUAUGAACAACAUUGCCUGAAAAAAAACAUACAGUUAAAAAAACCUGUACAUUUUAUGUUUGGUUAUUAAAAUAUCAAUAAUCAAAGACCAUCCAAAUGGGCUUUCUCAUCUGUUAAUCCAAUUAAUCAAGUAAAAUACUUUAUCAGCAUUGCAAAAGGUACAAUCUAAUUUAGAAUGGCAACUCUCAUAUAUAUGUCACAUUUUAAUGUAUAUAAAUAAUACAUAAAGCCACUGAAGGCACAUUGUACACUGUAUAAGAUAACUUGUUGUAGUGCAUUGAUUUAAUCAAGAUCUAAAAUCUGGCCUUGUAUAGCCCUGUUAUCACUUUCUCUUCCUUUGUAUUUUCAAUAAUCUUUUUCCCCAAAUAUUUCAGACCAAGAAACCUGAUAGAGACUGUGAACACAGGCCAGUACAAGGUAUAGAGGAAGUUUAUUUCUUUCUAUUCUGUAUACAUAUUUUUCUUUCCAAUAUUUUAUGAUUUAUUUUUUCUUUUUGUAUUCCCAGAUUAUCAGAAGUUUCUAAAAUAAAACACCAGUCUGCUGGUUCAACAAGUGAAGAACAUUGAUCCAAUUAUUGAUGAUCUCGACCUACAUGAUGAAUCCGUUGCAGUUGUGAGAGUGAAGCCAACAGAUCAAGAGAAGAUGAGGAAACUGCUUACCGAACUGCUGAACAGCUACUGAGUGUUGUAUUGUUUACCCACCAGAUUAGCAGCAUGUUAUUAAAGGAAAUGGAAUAUUGUACUGUCAAUGCCAACAAUAAAUUUUUUAAUGUUUUGAUAGUAAAAGUGAUAGUUCUUGGAGUUUUCCUUUUUUAUAUAAAUUGAGAACCAAGUAUAUUGUACAAACAGGCCUACAUGUAACCAAACAUGUCAGGGAUAUAUAUAUAUAUAUAUAUGUAUAUAUAUAUGUGUGUGUGUGUGUGUGUGUGUGUGUGCAUUUUACAUAUUAACCUUUUGUAUAGGUUGCACUGCUUUAAAGUUUUUUUUUAUUGUUUCUAAAUAUAAAUAUUUUAAUGUUGAUUUUAAAUCGUUUAAACAGUGGCAGUUGUUAAUUACAUUUUAUCAAUAUAACGGCUUGCUAUGAAGCACACUUGGAUUUUGGAUGGCAUUUUACAUCGAUCUAUCUAAAAUUCUAUUAACUUAAAAAGCACAUUUCUACUAGUCUAUUUGCAUAGUUUUACUACUGGCGAAAUUAGCUCUCAGAGUCAUGACAGACCCACCCCCCCAAACCUCCCACCGGUUUCACGUACAGCCGUUUACACCCAUGUCAAACACAAACACAACUGGAGGUGCAGUAGAAGAACUCAGUCACUAGGUGGGGAUGGUGGUUCAGUACAACGAGUGAAGAGACGGAAGAAGGGGCUUGAACCGUGUCUAAAAGCACCUGUUGGCACAGGUAAAAAUAAAUACAAAUAUAAUAUGAAUUGUAAUUCAUUGCUCAAUCUAUAGAGAUUUAUUACACUCAGGUGGGUAAGUUACAGUUAUAUUUAUGGUCACAGCACCUAGCAGAUUCUGUUUGGGGAUGCAUUCAUGCUGCUUGGUGGUUUGAGGUUUGUUUUUGUAAACCGUUUGUAAGGAUUGCUUCAUUCUCAUCUAUUAGACUGUGGGGAAUUGUGGGAAAUUGUAAGCGCUCAGAAGGGCACACAGAGAACCUUGUCAGGCAUUACUGCACUAGAGAUUACAUAAAAAGUAACAUUUUUAAUGUGGUUGCAGCAAUCAGAGCUAGAGAACCAGGCUUUAGGUCUGUGUCUUUACUGUGCUCUAACAUUACUAUUUUGUAUUUUGAUGACAUUUUAGUUUACAUUUUAUUGUAAAUAAAUUUGCUUCAUGUAUGUUGAAUAUUUAUUUAUUUAUAACAAAUCUGAUGUCAAACAUCUGUGGAAC
This is a long non-coding RNA of Cyprinus carpio carpio, 2419 nucleotides long. The record is from Ensembl. NCBI's taxonomy places the organism in Eukaryota, Metazoa, Chordata, Actinopteri, Cypriniformes, Cyprinidae.